GCUUACACAUGCCAGUCGUACGGAAAGGCCUCUUCGGAGGUACUCGAGUGGCGAACGGGUGAGUAACACGUGGGUAAUCUGCCCUGCACUUCGGGAUAAGCCUGGGAAACUGGGUCUAAUACCGAAUAGGACCAUUUAGCGCAUGCUUUAUGGUGGAAAGCUUUUGCGGUGUGGGAUGGGCCCGCGGCCUAUCAGCUUGUUGGUGGGGUGACGGCCUACCAAGGCGACGACGGGUAGCCGGCCUGAGAGGGUGUCCGGCCACACUGGGACUGAGAUACGGCCCAGACUCCUACGGGAGGCAGCAGUGGGGAAUAUUGCACAAUGGGCGCAAGCCUGAUGCAGCGACGCCGCGUGGGGGAUGACGGCCUUCGGGUUGUAAACCUCUUUCAGCAGGGACGAAGCGCAAGUGACGGUACCUGCAGAAGAAGCACCGGCCAACUACGUG
RNAcentral lists this ribosomal RNA (445 nucleotides) under uncultured bacterium. RNAcentral's name for it is "bacterial SSU rRNA". It matches the Rfam family "Bacterial small subunit ribosomal RNA", at positions 46 to 507 of the family's 1533-position model. The record is from RNAcentral.